Fundulus heteroclitus (mummichog) is the source of this 1233-nucleotide long non-coding RNA. RefSeq lists it as uncharacterized. The transcript has 2 exons. NCBI's taxonomy places the organism in Eukaryota, Metazoa, Chordata, Actinopteri, Cyprinodontiformes, Fundulidae. The record is from RefSeq and is a predicted model, not a curated record.
UUUAACAUGGUCUGUGCAUUCGUUCUGUCUUUGUACAGUGUUUGGCACAAGCAUCCACGCGUCGUGUGUUCAGAUCCCCUUUUGAACGGCGUCACAAGGCAGACAGGAACUCGAGAGGAUCUUGGUGGUAAGGAGUGAUUUAAUUCUAGCAAAAGGAAGAAAAAAAAGCAGCUUUAACAGAAGGAGAAAAGGGUGUGGAACUGGGGUUAGCGUGACGUGAGAAAUAAGGAGAAAACAAUGAAGGAGCUAUAAUACUGAGGAGUGGCAUAGAGACCAGGUGAGUCCAAUGAGAGAGAAGCAAAACACCUUGAGGAGAUUGCUGAGCAGGGAAACUAUGGGAAGGGGACUUAUUAACUCAGAGAGCAUCAAACUACAACACAAAAAAAGAUCUAUAAACCCAAAGGGGAAAAUACCAACAUCAAGGGGUCUAAGCAGGAAUGCACAGGGAGCUCAACACAAGAAACAAGAUUUCAACACAACUGAACGAACUGAGUAUGUUAAUCUUACAGUGUAAGAGGAAGAAAGGCACAAAGGCUUCUCAAAGGCCCUUUGUAGCUCAAACGCUUGGAUUCUGCCGAUGACAUCAUGUUGUGACGUUUACUGGGAUCCUUGCAGCGUGAAGCAGACACGCGACGCCCCACAACAGAACCAGGAGGAUGUCGACAUAGCUAAAGAACACGAAGGCCGGCAAGUCCUCCAGUGGCUUUUGAGUCUUGAAAGAGUGACACGUCCAAUUUUACACACAUUAGUAGGUUUAAAUGUCUCUGUACGGAUACAUCUCCUUAGACAGAGAAAUAAACAUGAAUAACUCGGUUACAGCAAGCAAACAAGGCCUCAUUCAUGCUCCAGACUUGAGUUAUUCUUUCACUUGGUCUGGCUCGAGAACGAAGCUUAUUUUAAAAUGACCACAGUUUUCCUUCCCCCCCGUCUCAUUCUCCCCUGGCUUUUAAUAAAGUGUGCAACCAAAGCCAUUAAGAUCCCAAAGAUUGUUGCGACGGUCUUUCAAAGCCCUUGAGAUUCCUUGAAAAUGACUGCAGUUGAGCAGGGCGUGUCAGCGUGCCCACUUCUGGGCUGAGAAAUGUUUUGGUCCUAUAGAAAUGUGGUUUCUAGAAAUGUGUCAAUGCUUAAUUUUAGGUCUCUGUACUACAAGAUCAAAUCAGGGCCUUUACUGUAGCACACCCAAGGGGAACCUUUGUCAUUUUCGAGCAUUUGUGGGUCAUGUCAUCAAAAAAA